CAUCAUCACCAUCAUCCUGACUAGUCUGACAGGCCGAUGUGUGCUGGAAGACGGUUAACCAAUCUUCCAGGUGGCGUAGAACGCAUAAAGAGAGCCCUCGGAAGAUAAUCUUCCGAGGGCUUUUUU
RNAcentral lists this small RNA (126 nucleotides) under Yersinia ruckeri. Its description in RNAcentral is "Histidine operon leader". It matches the Rfam family "Histidine operon leader". Rfam says of the family: At least 6 amino acid operons are known to be regulated by attenuation. Lineage: Bacteria; Pseudomonadati; Pseudomonadota; Gammaproteobacteria; Enterobacterales; Yersiniaceae. The record is from RNAcentral.